GACGAACGCUGGCGGCGUGCUUAACACAUGCAAGUCGAACGGAAAGGCCUCUUUCGGGGGGUACUCGAGUGGCGAACGGGUGAGUAACACGUGAGUAACCUGCCCUUGACUUUGGGAUAACUUCAGGAAACUGGGGCUAUUACCGGAUAGGAGCUCCUGCUGCAUGGUGGGGGUUGGAAAGUUUCGGCGGUUGGGGAUGGACUCGCGGCUUAUCAGCUUGUUGGUGGGGUAGUGGCUUACCAAGGCUUUGACGGGUAGCCGGCCUGAGAGGGUGACCGGCCACAUUGGGACUGAGAUACGGCCCAGACUCCUACGGGAGGCAGCAGUGGGGAAUAUUGCACAAUGGGUGGAAGCCUGAUGCAGCAACGCCGUGUGCGGGAUGACGGCCUUCGGGUUGUAAACCGCUUUCGCUCAUGACGAAGCUUUGUGUGACGGUAGUGGGUAAAGAAGCACCGGCUAACUACGUG
RNAcentral lists this ribosomal RNA (467 nucleotides) under uncultured bacterium. RNAcentral describes it as "partial 16S ribosomal RNA". It matches the Rfam family "Bacterial small subunit ribosomal RNA", at positions 28 to 507 of the family's 1533-position model. The record is from RNAcentral.